Molecule: long non-coding RNA, 9322 nt
Filed under: Elaeis guineensis (African oil palm)
Lineage: Eukaryota; Viridiplantae; Streptophyta; Magnoliopsida; Arecales; Arecaceae
Description: long non-coding RNA (EGUI_LNC030098)
Source: RNAcentral
CACUAGUGUACGGCAUUUUUAAGUCAUGCAGACAGGGUUAUGCGGUGGAGUAAUCCAUGAUGGAGGAGCAACUAUUUUCUUUAAUCAGGAAAAAAAGUAAUUUUUUUCCCUUGACGUAUUUAUGAUAUUUUGGAAUUAUUUAUUUGCAUAAAAUGUAUAAUAUAGUUAGUUAGUGGGUAAUUAGUUUGGGUGCGAUUAUAUCUAUAUCUAUUCUCAUAAGGUUUGUCAGAUUAUUAACUGGUUAAUCCAUCUGGAUUAUCUGCAUCCGAUCCAUCUGAAGGCAUCUUUUCCAUAUGUUAAGCAUCGUAUUCUUACAAAAAAAAGUAGAAAAAAAGGGUACCCACAGUGACCUUGGAAGAUGUGGGCACGUCUUCAGAUAUUUUUGGGUACGAGGGCUCCUGGCCCGUGCUUUGUGCGACAAUGGGAAGGAGAAAAGUCGUGCAUGUGACAUUGGGUAGGGCCCGUGGGAGCCGCGGCCGGCCGAAAGGAUAGGGUUUGAACAGGUCCAUCUGACGCCAAAUUGAGUGCCAACAAUUGCAAAAAAAAAAAAAAAAAAAAGAAAGAUAAUUAGGUACCUGCCACCUCCGUGCCAACUUGCGAGUCUGUUCACGUUUUUGUUAUCGCUUUUGGUGACACAAUUUCUAUUUUCAUAUUCUGUAGCCGGUGGUGCGCCGCUCGAGGUUAUGUGGUGCUUUAAGUUUUUUACAUCUUACACUUUUAAAAAGUUUGGUCUAUGGAUUUGGUCGAUACUGUAAUCUUUUCAUUUACCUACUUGCUAAGAGAUCAAAUAAUUUCGGAUAAUGACUGGAGAGCAAAUUUUUUUUUUUUUGGAAACAUGCAAGUGGUAACGUGUCCUACAGAAAAAAUAAUUCAGCUCAAGAUAUACAACCCAUCAUUCUCGUUCCCGUUCUUUGAAAAUAUAAAAAAGAAAGCCCUCUUCUGCAUAGAUUCUAUAAUUCCAUCUGAGUAAUCUUUCUUUUUCGUGCUCAACCACCAAAAAAAUGAUUCCCACACUGAUCAUUUUCGUAACUAAAAGGAUGCUUUUAGUUCACCAUCGGAAUUAGAAUUGAAGACAAUUUUGAUUUGCCGCUAGAAUCAGAAUCAAAAUAUGGUUCGAAGGAAAAUAAAAUUCUUAUCAAGCGAAUAAAAGCCAUUCAUUCUCAUUCCUAUUCCAAAGCUUAAAUGCUCCCAACCAACAUGCCUUAAGUUGCUAAUAUAACUAUUUAGCAAAAUUCUGCACACAACUGGAACAGGAACUUACGAUCUAAUGAAAGAGAUUGAUUCCUCUUGAGCAAUUUGAGAUGCAAUAAAAGUAUGCCCUGCCUGAGUGACCACAUGAAAAUGUGAUAUAAAUGGGCAUUUUUGAAUUUAUGAACCAAAGUAUUUCACUACAACAGUCUAAUUUACAAACAACUAUGUACAAAGAAAUGCCUUGCAAAAUUGCCGAAAAGUUUAUUCACUGGCUGGCUAUACCGUACCCUCUGCAACGCUGAUCUACAAGGUUGCCUGCUUCUACGCCAAAACCGCAAAAAAAUUAACUUAUCUCAACUUCAACUCCAUGAAAGAAUAGAAUAAAGUACUGAAGGGAAUGACUGUAGCCGCUCUAUUUCCACCAGGUGCCAACGAGAAUAUGGUCCAUGUAGAUUUCUUUGAUACAAAAUCACUUGACAUAAUCUGGAGAAUCUGAACUUAGUAACAUAACAAAAUGGUCCUCUUCAACAUUCUUCAAUGUAUCAGCAGAUCCUCUAUUAAUGUACCAAGAUAUGGAAGCUGUGUCCAGUAAAGCGACAUGUUAGAUUAAAACAUGUAGACUGAGAAAUCAUAAUAUCUUUUUUAAAUAUUCAAAUAAGCAUUCCUGGAAUUAUGCCUCCAGCAGCCUAUACUACAAACAAUGAAUGAUGUGUUUAGUUUUAGCUAGUUAUUGUUGAAGAGGUACAAGCUUUUGGACACUGUUUAAUCAGAGCAUAUACAAGCUUUCUGAAACAUUGCAAGGAAGAUGAUGUAGAACUCGCAGCGGUUAACUGUUGCUCUCUAUGAACAAUUAAGUUGAGAGAUCUUGCGGCCAGGAGGGUGACAUGAAUUUUAGAGAUGCGUGAUGAACUGUGUCCAAGUGAUAAAAAAAGAUAUGACCAGAUCUGAAAGAGGUGUAGCAUUUAUGAAAAAUAGGAUUGCUGUCCAAUUAAGGCAUGCUUUUCUGAAGACUGACAAAGUAAAUACAAGGGAAUGUUCCAUCCAGACAAACAAAAUCCUAAGAAAGGCUAUGUUGAUACGAGUUUUAGUCAAAAAAAGAGAGAGGAGACCCAGAUUUGGAGCAAAUAGUCACUAUUUCAUAACUAAGAAGGUUGAAUGAGCAAUCUUUGAAAAACCAUAUCCAUAAUCCAAGAGAAGCACUCUCAAUGGUCUGGACAUGGUGGCUCCAUUUUGUGGUUAAAGGGGAAGAAAGGAAAAAGGUAGGGCAAGAGAGAUGACACAACGAAACCCUGAUCCUGGUCCUUCUAAAGAUUUUAAAUGCAGCAUUCAAAACUGGUUCCAUAAAAUCAGUUCCACAUAUUAAUGCUAUUUUACCUGCUGCAGGAGCCAUUUCCUGCUCUCUGGCUGUAUGCAAUAAGACUGUCCCGGAGAGAACUGUUAUAAACCCACACAAUUCAGAAGCUAUAUCGCUUACAUCUUGACCAGACCAAUCCUGUAGCCAUUGAGAAAAGGGUAAGAAACAAACCUUAGCCAAAGCAUUUCAAUACAUACGUACAUACAACAUUAGUCAAAACAUACCUUGAACAUUAUUGCACUUGCCACUAUCGUGAGAGUGGUGAACAUAACAUAGUAAAUUGGGGAGACAAUUGCUGUAUUGAAGGUAUCCAGUGCCUGAGGGAGGUAACAGGUAAAAUUCAUUAAAUUGUAAAGGAUGCUGAUACUUGCGCUGAUAAAACUGCAUAAACAAUCACUUGAUGAAUUGUAUACAACAAUUGCAAACCACAGGUAUGCCAUCUGACAUGCAAUGGAUGUAUUUUUGUCAAGCAUGCAUUCCAAGAACAUAAUGGAUCUAUUCCAUCUGAAACAGGGUGAUUCCUUUCCAUGGUAAGCUAUGCAGAAUCUGAUAAAGAAAGAUUGCCAAAAUAUUGUUAACAGCUCCUUUGAAGUGCAGUAGCACUACCUUUUUAGUAUGUACCACUUCAUUUCUUAACUGAUUAUUCCUUUAACCACAAGUCAGCAACAAAUAUAAUUAUGAGUAAUCCUUCUUUUGGGAAGAAGAGAUAUCGCCUCUCUGUCCCUGUAUCAUCCUUGUGGUUUGUGAUGGAGCCCAGCAUUUAUAAAUAGAUUUAAUGCAUGUUAAUUGUUUUUGUUGGAACAAAAAAAGUGGAGCCAAAACUCUACUUUCAAAAUUUAACCAACAAAAUUGAAGAUUUAUGUACAUGAAGAUACAUGAGCUCAAUUACGUCAUGGAAAGUUAAAAUUAAUUAUCUUAAGGACAAGUGGCAUUCCACGUUCUGGACCAGAAGUGUCAGUCAAACCAACAUAUGCAUCAAAAGGGAUUCUGAUAUGCAGAAUGUAUGGUCAGAGGAUUAAUACCCUAGGGCAAUGAACUAGUGUGAACUCAUUAAAGCUACAAAGUUCAUACAGCUCUGGCAAUUGCCCUCAGCAGCACAGCAUGUGGCAUGAGAGCUUAUGUAGAACUCUUGAAAUACUUUAAUCAAAUGUACAAUGCACCCAGCCUUACAUGCUUCCUCAUGCAGGCAUAUUUGUUGAAAACAACCGGAUGGAAGAAACAGUACGAUGCACAAAAUAGCUUCAAGAUUUUUAGCUAUGGAGAGAUGCUGAUAUUUAGUAAUUAAUCGAAUGCCAUUUGAUGGUAAAACGUGCCACGGUGAUGUUCUGCAAUCAUUUUAUAAAGGCACAGAAAGAAUUUUAAUUAAAGGGACAGAGAGAGACAGAGAGGGAAAAUUUGUUGAACAAUGCCAACUAGUCACACAGGUAACAAUGAUGAGCAUUAAAGAGAAAAUAUGCAGAAAAAAAGGAAGGUGAAAUUUAAGAUUGUAUUUCUCAGGACAAAGUAAGAAUUCAUAAUACAGGACAAGGUAUCAUUCGCCGAACCAUCCCGAAUCGGACGGUUUAGGCCGUGCCGAACCAUACCGGCAAGAUACCAAACCAUACCAGCAAGAUACCGAUCCAGUUCCAAAAAAUAGCACAGCAGCCAUCUCGGAGGGAGGGAAAAGAAAGAGAAAGAGAGAGAGAGAGGGAGAGAAGAGAAAGAGGAAGAGAGGGCCUCCGACCGCUGUCGGAGCUCUUUCCGAGCUCGAUAAGGACGAAGGGAGGAAAGAAGAAAGGAUGAGACCUCACCAGAGCACUAAAGGCCCUCAAAGGCCUUGGACGGAUGGCAAUGCCACCGCGAGCUCUUUGAUGGCCGGCGAGCCAGCACCGAGAGAGCGGAGUUCAGCCGAGGUCAGAGGAGGGUUUACCCUUGUUUCUUUUCUUUUUUUUUUUUGAGUUUUAACGGGCAAAGGGGGCAACUGUGUUGCCGACUUUAUUCUUUUUUUUUUUUUAAUUCAGCUGAAGUGGGCCAAUGGACUUCACCUUAUUUUUAAUGCAGUUGCCAACAUCGUCCGCUAAAAAUAAAAAAAAAAAAAUCAAAACAUGGGCGAAUCCCUAUUUCAAACUGGAAGGCGAAGGCCCUCCUCCAGCCUCAGCCACCCUCCGUUUUCUUGGCGCUGGCUCGCCAGCCGUCGGAGAGCUCGCGGCGACAUCGCCGCCCGUCCGAAGGCCUCCAAUAAUUCGGUGAGGUCUCCCUCUCUCUCUUUUUCCCUCCCUCCACCCUUAUCAAGCUCGAAAAUGGCUCCGACGGCCUCCAACGGCUGUCGAAGGCUCUCUCUUCCUCUCUCCCCCCUCUCCCUCUUCUUCUCCCCCUUUCUCUUCCUCUCUUUCUUCUCCCUCUCCCCUUCUCUCCCCUGUUAGUUUGUGCCAGUCCGGUCCGGUACGGACCUGUAUCGAUUCAUACCGCCGACCAACCGGCACGGGUCCCGAUUCCGGCUCCGGGAACCUUGGGACAAGGAAAUAAAAAGAAAUUAAGGGGCUUCAGAAGUAGCAUAGACAAGACAUUAGAAAUGAUACUAAGCCAUGCAGAAUAAAGGUCUGAUGGGGCAUAACAUAUUUUGAUGGAAAGAAUUAAAAAAAAAAUGAAUAGAUCAAAGAGGAAAUUGUGCAAGCUGUACACAUAGAGGUGAAGUUUUAAAAUAAAUGCCAAUCCAAUGUAAUGCGAUGGCACUUAUUAAUCAAGGACAUUAAGAACAAAUAAGAUAUGGAUUGAAGUAGUUAUAUAUCUGGAAAGACCAAGAAGUAGCAGUAUCAAUGAGAAUAGAGUGAUCAUGAAUUGAUUUUUAAAUACAUUUGGAGAUACCAAGGAAUUCAUGUGUCACAAUUACCAAAGAAGGAAAAGUAGUAGGAAAAAGUGCGAGUAAAAAUUUAUUUCCAAUCAGAAAGGAAUUAGGAACUAAUUUACAAAAUGAAAAAUUGGUUUCUGUUUAAAAGAAAAGAGGAAAAGGUAGGAUAGGAAUCAUAAAUAUAUUUCUAUUUGCCUCAUAAUAAAUCAUACUUAUACCAAAUGAAAAUAGGCGGUGACUUAGAUAAAUGUAAAGGAAGUUGAAGUUUGAAAAUGCAAAUAAAUACGAAACAUAGAGUGAUGUAUAAGUCAAAACAUAACUGAUAUAUCAGUCUCAUGACCAGAUAAAUCCGAUGGGCUGGUGCUGAGUUGGGAACCAUUUAUGAAGGAGCUCAAGUAAGGGAAUAUAUCAUGAUUCAAUUUAAAUAUAUCAUGUGUGUGUGCAUAUGUGAAUCCGUAAAUGCGUGCAAGUGUUUGCAUGUCUGCUGUAAGUGAAAGGUAUAGAACUGAAAGUUAUGAACAUUACAAGUCACCCGUAACAGCUAAAAAGAUGCACGGAUGCACACACAUGUAUGCAUGCAUGUAUGUAUACGCUUAGCUUUAAGCUUAUUUAAUUUCAUCUUUUCAAUGAGGAUGGCCUUAACACCAUGAGAAGUUCAAAUAAGAAAUAUAAGAACAAGAUUUUUAUCCAUUCUAAUAUGACAGUCCAAUUGCACAUGUGGAUAUGACGUCAAAUUUAGCAAUUCUUGUCAGAGAAAUGAUUUGACUACUUUUAUAAUUGAAAUCACAACCAUAUAUAGGAAGGUUAGAGCCUGGCAAAAAAACUAAUAUCUCCUGCAGCUUGCUGCUCUUCUCAUAAUUGUAAAUUGAUUUCUACCAAGAGGAAAUUGCAUAUCUCAUAUCAAACAAGGAUAAUGAAAACUCAAGAAAGUUGUAGACUUUAGUUCUAAAUGCUGUUAAUUCUCGGGUUCAAGAUAUUUUUAUCGCUUUCAAGAGAAGGUGGCCCUACAAACAAUUUUGAUAGGUCAGCACUUGUUGAAUGGACAUCUCUAAUCUCAAACCCAGACAAGGCACUUCAAACUAAAUGGAUCAAAGCCACCUCUUCAUGUUGUGGAACUUAAUUGUGAAGGUGGAUGUAGAGGUAGCGUGUGUCUGGUGAUGGCAGUGUUAUAAGGGACACCACAGGCAGAUUAAUUUUUACAUCCUUUCAUGGGUUCGAAUCCAAUGUUUUUAGUGAAAUGAGUGUCCUUCUCUUGAUGUUUGAAACUUUGAACCCAAGGAGGCUUCUCUUCUAUCAUUUUGGAAUCUAAUACUCAAAUACUGGUUGAUGUUCUGUAUCAUAUUCCCUCGAAGCUUUGCUAACUGGUUCAGAAAUUCAGGUUGCUGACAUAAAAUCUAUAUGGUGGUUCAAUGUAUUUAAAGAACGCAAUUUGGCUAAGGAUGGCAAAUAUAGCUUGUGAUAUCCAAGAAAUUCGUGUUCUCAGAUCGUUAGCCCACUUCCAGCUGUCACAAAAUGUUCUCUAACACUGGAUCAGAUGGGCUUUCAGUAACCUAGGUUCAUGUUUGUUAAGAUCUCCCUCUAGUAACCUAAUGGGCUUUCUUUGCUUUCGUUAUAUUUAUUUUUUUCUUCUUUUUAACCCUCUUUUUAUUUAAAUAGUCCAUGCUAAACACUCACCCAGGACAUGGUUAUUUUACUAAAAAAGAAAAAAAGAUAAGAGUAUAAACCAGAUAUAGAGAGAUAGCUGCAGGUAAAACUGAUUUCAGCCAUGAGUAUAUAUAAAGCAGAUCAUAGAAAAAAAAAAAGGAGAAACAAGAACUAAAGCAUGUACAAAGUAAUAAUACUUUAUGGUAUCAUGUAGAGCCUUCCAUGCUAAAACAAAUUAAUUUUGAAAAUAAAAGUCUACAAAUAUCACCCUUAACUGAAUUUCAUUAAUAAAUUACCAUCAUCUGGCAUGAUAUAAAGCAACCAUAAGUAGUCAUAUUAUAUACUGCAAACCUGGUUCAAUCAAGUAACCAGAGACAACCUCUGCAAAUAUGAACAGAAUAAGAUAAAUAAAAAAAAAUAAAUCAAAGGUAACCACCUACAGAGACGUUAGAUAUAGGCAUAAUUAGAAAAUGGUUCCGCACAUAAAGCUUGGAAAGUAAUAAUCAUAUAAAAAUAAAAAUACACAUUAAGAUUGUCAACAAGCAAGUCUUAUGAGUGUUUUCCUUUCAAGUUGGUAUAAGAACAUAAUAACAACCUCAUAUGGACUUGAUAGAUAAUGUAAAUUUUGUGAAAAUUCAAUUGCAAUGGCAGUCUGGAGGAUUGCAGGUUAAAAUGACUAUAGUAGGAUAAAAUAUCAAGAAAAAGUUCUUAUCAGGAAAAAGGCCUGUAGGCCAUGGCUUAUCUUUUUAACUAAUGGAGACAUCAAAUAUGAAUAACAAGAUCCAACAAAAUGCAUAUUGUAGAAACCUUGUUCAAGUAAUUCAAUUGAGCGAUGACACAAACGACAGCAACUGUGACAAAUAGCCAUGUCUGUGGAUAAGCAAUCUGACUCAUUCCCUCCAAUGUAAGUUUUAUUGCAAUUCCAAUGGCCUUGAUGCUAACAACCUGUGCACCCCCAUUAAGCAAAAAGAAAUGGAGCUUGAGAAUGGAACAAGAUAAGAAGAAAGUUUUUACCACAGUUAUGAGUGCCAAAAAUUCUGAUAACUGAGUGCAUGUGAUUCACAAUAACCAGCUCAAGGAAAAACAAUUUACCGUCAGUGAGCCCAUUAGAGAGCAGAUGCCAAGGUAAACCAAUAUGUUGGUCUGUCCAUAACGAGGUUCAAAGUGUAGUACUAAUGCCAAUACAAUUGAUAAUGUAGCUCCAGAGUAAACUAAAAAUGCUGCAAACAGGACAAAUGCAAGAAAAGAAAUUAAUUAUAAUGCAGAACUGCCUGGGUAUUUGACAAACAGUAUAGUGAAGACAAAAGAGAACAACAAUUGUCUGCGAUACCAGGUUGAGUAGCUAGAUUCCAAAUUUCUUCUACAGAACUCGGAGAAUGCUCCUGAGGUGCGUGAAUUAUGAUAACAACUGAGCCAACGAUACAGGACACACACCCCAAAACACCUAGUUUCUGUAAUCGUUCUUUCAGCAUGAAGUGUGCCAAAACAGCACUAUUUGGUCCAUCAAAAACAUAAAUUCUCAAAAUCAGUAGACCCAAUUAGAUAUAUUAAGCACAGAAAACUGUUUUCUUAGUUUUACCUGACAAUAAUACUCAAUGCACCAAGAGGAGUUACAAGAACUGCAGGGGCAAAAACAUAAGCCACAAAAUUUGCCACCUCACCUAUCAUCACUGGUUGUAAAGAAACUUGACUUUCAGAUAAAGAAAUUUUGCCCCUCUAACCACCAUUAAUAUUGUUUUUGGAAAAAAAAAAAGCAUGUGAAUAUAAUAAUUUUGUGACUCAAAAUCUACAAAUAGCUUACUUGUUAGCAUGCCAGCCCACCACAAAGGCUCUAAUAGGUAUGCAUACCCUCCAAAACCUACGGUAUAAAAGGAAUAAGGCAAUAACCAGAAAACAAAGUUAAAAAUGCAUAGGAAAGAAGUGAAGUCUUCCGAGUAUAAUCACAUAGAAGAUCAGAAGAUCUUGAAAAUCAGUAAGUUCCUAGAUGGAAAUAACCCAACGUAUUGCUUUUUUUUUUUUUUUAUGUUUCAAAGUUCAUGAUAAUUCUAAGCCAAAGAAAGUAAAUAAAAGACAACAAAUGAAAAAAGAAUAUCAAUUUGGUAUUUUCCACCAACAAAUGAUGUUUACCUAGUAAAAUUUGCUUACUCCUGCAACACCUAAACAAUAAGAUGGAAACAAAGAUAUGGCAGUUUUUCUCUGACUCCAAACCGAAAUUUGAAGCUUAUUAAGAACACAUAAGGCGAUUGUAUCCUCACACCAUCUCAACCUCAUGAAAGAAUGGAAGCCACAAUGAAAGAAAAUAAGAA